CACCUGAUCCCAUCCCGAACUCAGAAGUGAAACGAAACAGCGUCGAUGGUAGUGUGGGGUCUCCCCAUGUGAGAGUAGAACAUCGCCAGGC
RNAcentral lists this ribosomal RNA (91 nucleotides) under Vibrio cholerae. The record is from RNAcentral. Lineage: Bacteria; Pseudomonadati; Pseudomonadota; Gammaproteobacteria; Vibrionales; Vibrionaceae.